RNAcentral lists this microRNA (22 nucleotides) under Lotus japonicus. RNAcentral describes it as "lja-miR11097a-3p". Lineage: Eukaryota; Viridiplantae; Streptophyta; Magnoliopsida; Fabales; Fabaceae. The record is from miRBase by way of RNAcentral.
CACCGUCGGUGCAUCAAACUUU